UACGUAGGGGGCAAGCGUUGUCCGGAAUCAUUGGGCGUAAAGCGCGUGUAGGCGGUUCGGUAAGUCUGCUGUGAAAGUCCAGGGCUCAACCCUGGGAUGCCGGUGGAUACUGUCGGACUAGAGUACGGAAGAGGCGAGUGGAAUUCCCGGUGUAGCGGUGAGAUGCGCAGAUAUCGGGAGGAACACCAAUUGCGAAGGCAGCUCGCUGGGACGUCACUGACGCUGAGACGCGAAAGCGUGGGGAGCAAACAGG
Molecule: ribosomal RNA, 253 nt
Filed under: uncultured bacterium
Lineage: Bacteria
Description: partial 16S ribosomal RNA
Rfam family: Bacterial small subunit ribosomal RNA
Source: RNAcentral